UAAAGCUCUGUUGUUAGGGAAGAACAAGUGCCGUUCAAAUAGGGCGGCACCUUGACGGUACCUAACCAGAAAGCCACGGCUAACUACGUGCCAGCAGCCGCGGUAAUACGUAGGUGGCAAGCGUUGUCCGGAAUUAUUGGGCGUAAAGGGCUCGCAGGCGGUUUCUUAAGUCUGAUGUGAAAGCCCCCGGCUCAACCGGGGAGGGUCAUUGGAAACUGGGGAACUUGAGUGCAGAAGAGGAGAGUGGAAUUCCACGUGUAGCGGUGAAAUGCGUAGAGAUGUGGAGGAACACCAGUGGCGAAGGCGACUCUCUGGUCUGUAACUGACGCUGAGGAGCGAAAGCGUGGGGAGCGAACAGGAUUAGAUACCCUGGUAGUCCACGCCGUAAACGAUGAGUGCUAAGUGUUAGGGGGUUUCCGCCCCUUAGUGCUGCAGCUAACGCAUUAAGCACUCCGCCUGGGGAGUACGGUCGCAAGACUGAAACUCAAAGGAAUUGACGGGGGCCCGCACAAGCGG
Molecule: ribosomal RNA, 516 nt
Filed under: Bacillus amyloliquefaciens
Lineage: Bacteria; Bacillati; Bacillota; Bacilli; Caryophanales; Bacillaceae
Description: bacterial SSU rRNA
Rfam family: Bacterial small subunit ribosomal RNA
Source: RNAcentral